RNAcentral lists this unclassified non-coding RNA (201 nucleotides) under soil metagenome. RNAcentral describes it as "partial contains 5.8S ribosomal RNA, internal transcribed spacer 2, and large subunit ribosomal RNA". The record is from RNAcentral.
AAGACUAUAGACCUGCGGAGUACCUGCGGAAGGAUCAUUACCGAGCUCGUGCCCUUCGGGGCAGAUCUCCCACCCGAUGUCAUGACUACGAUGUUGCUUUGGCGGGCCGCCGGGCCCUGCCCGCCAGAGGUCUCCUAGACUCUGAAUAUUAGUGUCGUCCGAGUAUCACAGAAUAGUCAAAACUUUCAACAAUGGAUCUCU